CGAACGGGUGAGUAACACGUAGGAACUUUAUUUAAGUUGAGGAUAUCCCACCGAAAGGUGGUGCAAUACUCGAUGUGAUCGCAAGAUUAAAGUCGCAAGACGCUUAAAGUGAGGCCUGCGGAAUAUCAGCUAGUUGGUAAGGUAAUGGCUUACCAAGGCUAUGACAUUUAGCGGAUCUGAGAGGAUGACCCGCCACACUGGGACUGCGACACGGCCCAG
This 219-nucleotide ribosomal RNA is filed under the name uncultured bacterium. RNAcentral describes it as "partial 16S ribosomal RNA". It matches the Rfam family "Bacterial small subunit ribosomal RNA", at positions 99 to 334 of the family's 1533-position model. The record is from RNAcentral.